RNAcentral lists this ribosomal RNA (891 nucleotides) under uncultured marine bacterium. Its description in RNAcentral is "bacterial SSU rRNA". It matches the Rfam family "Bacterial small subunit ribosomal RNA", at positions 59 to 989 of the family's 1533-position model. The record is from RNAcentral.
AAGUCGAACGAAGGCCCUAGCUUGCUAGGUGUCCUUAGUGGCGCACGGGUGAGUAACACGUGGGAACAUACCUUAUAGUACGGAAUAACUGCGGGAAACUGUAGCUAAUACCGUAUAUUCCAGUAAUGGGAAAGAUUUAUCGCUAUAAGAUUGGCCCGCGCAAGAUUAGCUUGUUGGUGAGGUAAAAGCUCACCAAGGCUUCGAUCUUUAGCUGGUUUGAGAGGAUGAUCAGCCACACUGGGACUGAGACACGGCCCAGACUCCUACGGGAGGCAGCAGUAGGGAGUAUUGGACAAUGGGGGCAACCCUGAUCCAGCAAUGCAGCGUGAGUGACGAAGGUCUUAGGGUUGUAAAACUCUUUCAUCGGUGAGGAUAAUGACAGUAGCCGAAGAAGAAGGACCGGCUAAUUCCGUGCCAGCAGCCGCGGUAAUACGGAAGGUCCUAGCGUUGUUCGGAAUUACUGGGCGUAAAGCGCAUGUGGGCGGAACAGAAAGUUAGAAGUGAAAUCCCUGGGCUCAACCUAGGAAUUGCUUUUAAAACUUCUGUUCUGGAAUUCAGGAGAGGAAAAUGGAAUUUCCAGUGUAGAGGUGAAAUUCGUAGAUAUUGGAAGGAACACCAGUGGCGAAGGCGAUUUUCUGGACUGAUAUUGACGCUGAGAUGCGAAGGCAUGGGUAGCAAACGGGAUUAGAUACCCCGGUAGUCCAUGCAGUAAACGAUGGGUGCUAGUCGUCGGACUUUUGUUCGGUGUCGUAGCUAACGCGUUAAGCACCCCGCCUGGGGAGUACGGUCGCAAGAUUAAAACUCAAAUAAAUUGACGGGGACCCGCACAAGCAGUGGAGCAUGUGGUUUAAUUCGACGCAACGCGAAGAACCUUACCAGCGUUUGACAUGG